RNAcentral lists this long non-coding RNA (478 nucleotides) under Nicotiana tabacum (common tobacco). RNAcentral's name for it is "long non-coding RNA (NTAB_LNC010730)". Lineage: Eukaryota; Viridiplantae; Streptophyta; Magnoliopsida; Solanales; Solanaceae. The record is from RNAcentral.
CAUUUUCAAGACUAUGAAAGGUUUGGAUUUUAGCUUCAGGAACGAAGAACUUCGCCAUAGCAGCAUUGUCGUAGCCCUGCUCUAGAGUGCAUGUGUUAUGAUUUCUCAACUUCCCAAACUGAGUAUCACCAGGUAAUGCUUUUAUAUUUUCUGAAUUUGGACCUGCAUUUAACACUCUGACAUUCACUGAGGAAGAAACAGGAGCUUGACAUUUAGAAGCCAGUUGCUCAUGUGUAACAUUUUGACCAGGAGGAGAAACUUCUUUGUCCGCUUUGUCACCCUCUCCAUCCACAGCAGGAAGCUCCUGCCGCCGCGCUGUUAGGUCAUCGAACUUCUCUGAUCUAGAUAACAAGUCAAAUUGAUGUUCAACCAUUUGAUCAUCCACGUUGGAUACAACAAUCGGGACAUCUCCUGUUGCUUCCACAUUACGGGAACAAGCUUUGGGAUUCGGGAUUGGUUUAAGGGAAACAUAUUGAAC